GGCUAAACCAUGCACCGAAGCUGCGGCAGCGAACGUAUCACCCAAGACAACUUUACGGAGUUGACGAUUGACGGAGCGAAGCGACGUCAAAGCGUUCAUUAAAGUCGAGUUGGCUUAGGGAUACGUUCGUUGGGUAGGGGAGCGUUCUGUAAGCCUGUGAAGGUGUGUCGUGAGGCAUGCUGGAGGUAUCAGAAGUGCGAAUGCUGACAUAAGUAACGAUAAAGCGGGUGAAAAGCCCGCUCGCCGGAAGACCAAGGGUUCCUGUCCAACGUUAAUCGGGGCAGGGUGAGUCGACCCCUAAGGCGAGGCCGAAAGGCGUAGUCGAUGGGAAACGGGUUAAUAUUCCCGUACUUGGUGUUACUGCGAAGGGGGGACGGAGAAGGCUAUGUUGGCCGGGCGACGGUUGUCCCGGUUUAAGCGUGUAGGUGUGUGUUCCAGGUAAAUCCGGUUCACUUUAACACUGAGGCGUGACGACGAGGCACUACGGUGCUGAAGCAACAAAUGCCCUGCUUCCAGGAAAAGCCUCUAAGCAUCAGGUAACAUCAAAUCGUACCCCAAACCGACACAGGUGGUCAGGUAGAGAAUACCAAGGCGCUUGAGAGAACUCGGGUGAAGGAACUAGGCAAAAUGGUGCCGUAACUUCGGGAGAAGGCACGCUGACACGUAGGUGAAGUGAUUUACUCAUGGAGCUGAAGUCAGUCGAAGAUACCAGCUGGCUGCAACUGUUUAUUAAAAACACAGCACUGUGCAAACACGAAAGUGGACGUAUACGGUGUGACGCCUGCCCGGUGCCGGAAGGUUAAUUGAUGGGGUCAGCGCAAGCGAAGCUCCUGAUCGAAGCCCCGGUAAACGGCGGCCGUAACUAUAACGGUCCUAAGGUAGCGAAAUUCCUUGUCGGGUAAGUUCCGACCUGCACGAAUGGCGUAAUGAUGGCCAGGCUGUCUCCACCCGAGACUCAGUGAAAUUGAACUCGCUGUGAAGAUGCAGUGUACCCGCGGCAAGACGGAAAGACCCCGUGAACCUUUACUAUAGCUUGACACUGAACAUUGAGCCUUGAUGUGUAGGAUAGGUGGGAGGCUUUGAAGUGUGGACGCCAGUCUGCAUGGAGCCGACCUUGAAAUACCACCCUUUAAUGUUUGAUGUUCUAACGUGGACCCGUAAUCCGGGUUGCGGACAGUGUCUGGUGGGUAGUUUGACUGGGGCGGUCUCCUCCUAAAGAGUAACGGAGGAGCACGAAGGUUGGCUAAUCCUGGUCGGACAUCAGGAGGUUAGUGCAAUGGCAUAAGCCAGCUUGACUGCGAGCGUGACGGCGCGAGCAGGUGCGAAAGCAGGUCAUAGUGAUCCGGUGGUUCUGAAUGGAAGGGCCAUCGCUCAACGGAUAAAAGGUACUCCGGGGAUAACAGGCUGAUACCGCCCAAGAGUUCAUAUCGACGGCGGUGUUUGGCACCUCGAUGUCGGCUCAUCACAUCCUGGGGCUGAAGUAGGUCCCAAGGGUAUGGCUGUUCGCCAUUUAAAGUGGUACGCGAGCUGGGUUUAGAACGUCGUGAGACAGUUCGGUCCCUAUCUGCCGUGGGCGCUGGAGAACUGAGGGGGGCUGCUCCUAGUACGAGAGGACCGGAGUGGACGCAUCACUGGUGUUCGGGUUGUCAUGCCAAUGGCACUGCCCGGUAGCUAAAUGCGGAAGAGAUAAGUGCUGAAAGCAUCUAAGCACGAAACUUGCCCCGAGAUGAGUUCUCCCUGAGACUUAGAGUCUCCUGAAGGAACGUUGAAGACGACGACGUUGAUAGGCCGGGUGUGUAAGCGCAGCGAUGCGUUGAGCUAACCGGUACUAAUGAACCGUGAGGCUUAACCUUACAACGCCGAAG
Molecule: ribosomal RNA, 1865 nt
Filed under: Salmonella enterica
Lineage: Bacteria; Pseudomonadati; Pseudomonadota; Gammaproteobacteria; Enterobacterales; Enterobacteriaceae
Description: partial 23S ribosomal RNA
Rfam family: Bacterial large subunit ribosomal RNA
Source: RNAcentral